UUCAAACCACAUGUGCAAAUAGAACAGGUAUAUAAGACUUAAGUCUUUGGAUCAAAAAUAUGAGACAAUUCAAUAUGUACCGUAUCAUAGUAGUGAGCAUUGUGGCAGCAGCAGUCUUAAGUGCUGUGAGAGCACUUAACUGUGGACCAGGCUACUGUGAUCUGUCCAGUCACAUCUGUACCUCUGGUCACUGCAUACCAAUCGGAAAAUGACCAAGACUGUGGACACUUGGAUUGGGUGAAAAAGACAUUUGAAAAAUAAAGAUCUUAUGCUUA
Long non-coding RNA from Macrosteles quadrilineatus (aster leafhopper), 275 nucleotides. RefSeq lists it as uncharacterized. Lineage: Eukaryota; Metazoa; Arthropoda; Insecta; Hemiptera; Cicadellidae. The transcript is spliced from 2 exons. The record is from RefSeq and is a predicted model, not a curated record.